AUUGAACGCUGGCGGCAUGCCUUACACAUGCAAGUCGAACGGUAACAGGCCUUCGGAUGCUGACGAGUGGCGAACGGGUGAGUAAUACAUCGGAACGUGCCUAGUAGUGGGGGAUAACUACUCGAAAGAGUGGCUAAUACCGCAUGAGAUCUACGGAUGAAAGCAGGGGAUCGCAAGACCUUGUGCUACUAGAGCGGCCGAUGGCAGAUUAGGUAGUUGGUGGGAUAAAAGCUUACCAAGCCGACGAUCUGUAGCUGGUCUGAGAGGAAGAUCAGCCACACUGGGACUGAGAAACGGCCCAGACUCCUACGGGAGGCAGCAGUGGGGAAUUUUGGACAAUGGGCGCAAGCCUGAUCCAGCAAUGCCGCGCGCAGGAUGAAGGCCUUCGGGUUGUGAACUGCUUUUGUACGGAACGAAAAGCCCCGGGUUAAUACCCUGGGGUCAUGACGGUACCGUAAGAAUAAGCACCGGCUAACUACGUGCCAGCCGCCGCAGUAA
Molecule: ribosomal RNA, 498 nt
Filed under: uncultured bacterium
Lineage: Bacteria
Description: partial 16S ribosomal RNA
Rfam family: Bacterial small subunit ribosomal RNA
Source: RNAcentral